UAACGCGUAGGUAACCUGCCUUGUAGCGGGGGAUAACUAUUGGAAACGAUAGCUAAUACCACAUAACAAUGGGUGACUCAUGUCAUUUAUUUGAAAGGGGCAAAUGCUCCACUACAAGAUGGACCUGCGUUGUAUUAGCUAGUAGGUGAGGUAACGGCUCACCUAGGCGACGAUACAUAGCCGACCUGAGAGGGUGAUCGGCCACACUGGGACUGAGACACGGCCCAG
RNAcentral lists this ribosomal RNA (228 nucleotides) under uncultured bacterium. RNAcentral describes it as "partial 16S ribosomal RNA". It matches the Rfam family "Bacterial small subunit ribosomal RNA", at positions 111 to 334 of the family's 1533-position model. The record is from RNAcentral.